This 54-nucleotide transfer RNA is filed under the name Leptotrombidium imphalum. RNAcentral describes it as "tRNA-His". Lineage: Eukaryota; Metazoa; Arthropoda; Arachnida; Trombidiformes; Trombiculidae. The record is from RNAcentral.
CUUUUAUUAGUUUAUUUAAAACACCAAAUUGUGGUUUUGGAGAAAAUUGGAAGA